RNAcentral lists this long non-coding RNA (1337 nucleotides) under Callithrix jacchus (white-tufted-ear marmoset). RNAcentral describes it as "lncRNA (ENSCJAG00000087348.1)". Lineage: Eukaryota; Metazoa; Chordata; Mammalia; Primates; Cebidae. The record is from RNAcentral.
UCACUUGUUCACUCUCUUAGGUAGAGUCCUUCAGAGAAACAGAAGCAGAAAGACAUAGACAGAGAAAAAAAAGGAAAAGAGGGUUACGAUUAGAAAUUGUCUCACAUGAGCACAGAGGCUGAGAAGCCCCACACUCUGCAUUUGGCAAGCUGGAGACCCAGGAGAGCCAAUGUGUUUCGGUUCCAGUCACAAAGCAGAAAAUAACUGAUGUACCAGCUUUUUGUCAGUCAGGGUCGUCCUCUCUUGCCCAAGCUGGAGUGCACGAUCAUGGCUCACUACAGCCUCAACCUUCCGGGUUCAAGCAAUCCUCCUACAUCAGCCCCCAACUGGCUGGGACUACAGGCACAAGCCACCAUGCUCAGCUAAUUUUUAUUUUUUACUUUUCUGUAGUUAAGGGAUAUCAAUUUUUCUUAUUUUAUAUAUGAUAAAACUGAAGCUCAGAAGAGGUAAAGUCAUAAAAGAGAUGAACUUAAGAUAUAACUCCAGCUUGGUCUGGCAUCCGCUUCAAAAACAGUUCUCAUGAGACACCUUAGUAGCUAUUCCUCACUCCAACCCUCGACUUAGAUCUUCCUUUGAGAGAGGCAAUCUGAAUAACUCAGCUACUUCAUCACGUGGUCCAAAGCCCACGGUUCCGCAUUCACUUUUCUCUCAAAAAGCACUAGCAGCAGGGUCACUCUGCCACCCUCUCGCUUUGGGUCGAAUGUUUGCCUCUUUCCAGGAGAUACUGAAAUCUAAUCUCUCACGUGACAGUAUUAGAAAGUGGGUAUUUGGGGAUGUGAUUAGGUCGUGAGGGCAGAGGCCUUAUGAAUUGAAUGAACGUCUUGUGAGACAGGCCCCAGAGGGCUGCUUCUCCUCCUCUGUGAUGCGAGGAUGCAGCAAGAACGAGGCGGAUGGAUCACAAGGUCAAGAGAUCGAGACCAUCCUGGUCAACAAAGUGAAACCCCACCUCUACUAAAACUACAAAAAUUAGCUGGGCAUGGUGGCGCGUGCCUGUAAUCCCAGCUACUCAGGAGGCUGAGGCAGGAGAAUUGCCUGAACCCAGAAGGCGGAGGUUGCGGUGAGCCGAGAUCGCGCCAUUGCACUCCAGUCUGGGUAACAACAGCGAAACUCAGUCUCAAAAAAAAAAAAAAAAAAAGGACGAGGCAUCAACAAACCAAGAAUGGCCCCCACCAGAUGCAGAAUCUGCCAGCACCUUGAUCUUGGCCGUCCCAGCCUCCAGAGCUGUGAGAAGUAUUUGUCUGUGGUUCUUAAGUCACCUAGCCUGCAAUAUUCUGCUACAGUGAAGCAAACAGACUGACAGGAAUUGAUACUGACAAGCAGGGUGUUGUAACAAAUAC